GAGUUCCUGUGGCCCACAGAGGCUAUGGCAAAUCUGCAGAUCUCUGGAGCUCAAAACAGGUGCACACUGCCUAAGGUCAGCCUUCCCUUUAGUCAGCCACCCCCUCUGAUGUGAUGUAUUUGAGAAAGAGGGGUUUUCUGCUAAGCAGAGGCCUCACUGUUUUGCCUGUCCCUGAACUGGCUGCUCCACACCCCUCAGGGCAAAACUGCUGCAGCUGCAGCAAGCCCUGCAAGAAGUAAGAGGGACCAAAGGCUUCUACUUCCCAGCUCAGCCCUGACUGACCUGACUCUCCUUAUCUCCAACAUCAAAGCUGUCUGGCAUUCAAGUUUUCCUCAUCCCCUGGAAGCCAUGGAGAGAAAAAUCCAUCCCUAACCAAGGACCCACCCACCCAUGACGGCUUCCUGCAUUUCCCGUAUACUUCUCAGGUCUGAAUUAAGCAGCCUGGAAUAACUGCCAGGUGGGCUCUGGCCCCCACCCACAGACACGUGCCCUUCCAAGGCCUCAUGGGCAGUAGGAGUUGUGAAUAUACCCUUCAGUCUUUGAAAAAUCCAAAACAUUUGUGGAGCCACAUAUCUCACAAGGACAAAUAUUCAUUCUCAAAGGAAGACACAGUCUUCGCACCCACAGGGAAGAGCUGAAUUAUUUUCCUAUCUGCCCUGUAAUCUGCUCACUGGGAAGUUAGUAGCUGACAGCAUCUGUAGAACCUUCAAACAGUGCCCACUCACAGGACUACCAGACAUAGGAGGAGCAUUUACUACUGGACUAAGACCCAGAAGAAGCUUUGAAAUUCCCUCCGACGGACAUCCACACCCUUCUUAUGCAGGGCCUCCUCUGUGAAGCUGGUUUCCUGCAAGUGAUGGUUCACUCUUUGCGUACCUUCGCCCUCCCGGCUUUCAGCGGAGGCGUUUCCACCUAUGAGAGAGUCGUCGGUGUUAACCUCUGUUCUACUGACCAUCUUGCCCCCACCUCGUCAGCCCGUCGGCGGAGAACAUCUCAUGGCGGCUGUUGAGGGAACCAACUCAGGACCUUGCGCUUGCAAGGCAGGCGGCGGAACCACUGCCCUCAAUCCCUGGCUAAAUCCCCGGCCCUGUUUGGUUUUUUUUAAGAAGAAGAUUUUGCUUCAUAGCCAGCUCAGUUCUCAAGAGUCUCUACCCACCUCGCCUUACGGGCCCAAAAGAGCUGGCAGAAUCCAUAGACUUCAGUUUCUCUGAAGAUGAUGAUGCCCACAGACGGUGUCUUCAGGAAGCUCUUAAACGAAGAUGAUAAGAAUCCAGAACCAAAGCAUCCGAGACUCGGUGUCUAGUUAUUCCAAGUGUCUUACCCCACAAACAACAGUGUAUUUGCUCCAAAGAAACAAGAUACUAAGAAUAAUAAGGAGGAAUAUGCUAAAAUUGUAUCCAAGAGAAUGAAAGAAGUCAAGAAAAAUGCCAGGAGCAGAUUACCAAGAGAAACUGGCUAUUAUAGUUUAUAUGUAGAUGUCCCUCCCCAAAGUCUCAUGCCCUCAUAGGUAGGACUUUGGGGAGGUGAUUGUAUUGUGGGGAACUACACUUACCAGCAAAUCAGUCUGCCAAUGAGUUUAUAGUAAAUGUGAGGCUGGGAGGUGGAGCCCGGUCAGAGAAGGUGGGUCACUGAGGGUGUGGCCUCGAAGGAUCUAUUGCCUUCCCCCACUCAGUCUCUUCACUCUCUCUGCUCCCCCCACCCCACGCUAUGAGCAGCUCUCCUUUGUCAUGCCUGUCUGCCAUGCCACCCUGCCUUAGAGCUAACUGACUAUUACCUGAAACUUCUUCUCCUUUAAGUUGCAAGUGUCAGGUAUGAUAGAUCAGCAAGGAGGAACGUGACUAAAACAGCUGUCCUUUCCGAGAGAGAUUUUACAUCUGAGUUCCCAAAAAAUUAAGAAUCUUUAAGGGUAACAACAACAACAACAUAAGGUCACACCUAAAAAAAAAAAAAAAAAAAAAAAAAACUACUAUGAGAUAUGACUAUGAGGUACCCACACCAAUAUAGCUAAAUUUAAAAGUCUAAUAAGAAAAGCAAUAGAAACUCUC
Long non-coding RNA from Fukomys damarensis (Damara mole-rat), 2045 nucleotides. Lineage: Eukaryota; Metazoa; Chordata; Mammalia; Rodentia; Bathyergidae. The record is from Ensembl.